RNAcentral lists this ribosomal RNA (1444 nucleotides) under uncultured organism. RNAcentral's name for it is "SSU rRNA". It matches the Rfam family "Bacterial small subunit ribosomal RNA". The record is from RNAcentral.
UUAGCUACAGGCUUAACACAUGCAAGUCGAGGGGCAGCAUGGUCUUAGCUUGCUAAGGCCGAUGGCGACCGGCGCACGGGUGAGUAACACGUAUCCAACCUGCCGUCUACUCUUGGACAGCCUUCUGAAAGGAAGAUUAAUACAAGAUGGCAUCAUGAGUCCACAUGUUCACAUGAUUAAAGGUAUUCCGGUAGACGAUGGGGAUGCGUUCCAUUAGAUAGUAGGCGGGGUAACGGCCCACCUAGUCUUCGAUGGAUAGGGGUUCUGAGAGGAAGGUCCCCCACAUUGGAACUGAGACACGGUCCAAACUCCUACGGGAGGCAGCAGUGAGGAAUAUUGGUCAAUGGGCGAGAGCCUGAACCAGCCAAGUAGCGUGAAGGAUGACUGCCCUAUGGGUUGUAAACUUCUUUUAUAAAGGAAUAAAGUCGGGUAUGCAUACCCGUUUGCAUGUACUUUAUGAAUAAGGAUCGGCUAACUCCGUGCCAGCAGCCGCGGUAAUACGGAGGAUCCGAGCGUUAUCCGGAUUUAUUGGGUUUAAAGGGAGCGUAGAUGGAUGUUUAAGUCAGUUGUGAAAGUUUGCGGCUCAACCGUAAAAUUGCAGUUGAUACUGGAUAUCUUGAGUGCAGUUGAGGCAGGCGGAAUUCGUGGUGUAGCGGUGAAAUGCUUAGAUAUCACGAAGAACUCCGAUUGCGAAGGCAGCCUGCUAAGCUGCAACUGACAUUGAGGCUCGAAAGUGUGGGUAUCAAACAGGAUUAGAUACCCUGGUAGUCCACACGGUAAACGAUGAAUACUCGCUGUUUGCGAUAUACAGCAAGCGGCCAAGCGAAAGCGUUAAGUAUUCCACCUGGGGAGUACGCCGGCAACGGUGAAACUCAAAGGAAUUGACGGGGGCCCGCACAAGCGGAGGAACAUGUGGUUUAAUUCGAUGAUACGCGAGGAACCUUACCCGGGCUUAAAUUGCAGAUGAAUUACGGUGAAAGCCGUAAGCCGCAAGGCAUCUGUGAAGGUGCUGCAUGGUUGUCGUCAGCUCGUGCCGUGAGGUGUCGGCUUAAGUGCCAUAACGAGCGCAACCCUUGUUGUCAGUUACUAACAGGUCAUGCUGAGGACUCUGACAAGACUGCCAUCGUAAGAUGUGAGGAAGGUGGGGAUGACGUCAAAUCAGCACGGCCCUUACGUCCGGGGCUACACACGUGUUACAAUGGGGGGUACAGAGGGCCGCUACCACGCGAGUGGAUGCCAAUCCCAAAAACCUCUCUCAGUUCGGACUGGAGUCUGCAACCCGACUCCACGAAGCUGGAUUCGCUAGUAAUCGCGCAUCAGCCACGGCGCGGUGAAUACGUUCCCGGGCCUUGUACACACCGCCCGUCAAGCCAUGGGAGCCGGGGGUACCUGAAGUGCGUAACCGCGAGGAGCGCCCUAGGGUAAAACUGGUGACUGGGGCUAA